UUUCAUUAAGAAAAUCUUCCUGAACCUCCCCUGGUGCCGCUCCAGGCCGUUUCCUCUCUGUUGACCUUCACCUGUCAUGGAGCGCAUGCUCACCCCCAAAAUUCCUCUUCCAGACUUGCAGGGCUGGAUGAGAGGGAGAAAAAAAUAUGGAACGCUUCACGAAUUUGCGUGUCAUCCUUGCGCAGGGGCCAUGCUAAUCUUCUCUGUAUCGUUCCAAUUUUAGUAUAUGUGCUGCCGAAGCGAGCACGAACGGGACACCCUACCCGCCGGUAUUUGUACCCCCAGGAUUCGGGCUCCGCAAGGUCAGGGUGACCCCUUUGGACAAACUGGCAGUGCCGGUGGAAGAGGCAGCAUCCGUGCACGACACCCCGACUGUACUGAGGGUCUGGCGGGCAGGAGACGGCGGAGAAGAGGGGAACAGACCCCAAAUCCGGCCUAAUCGGCGUUAUGCAAAUAGCUCUGCCGUAUGCAAAUACGCGCAAAGCACUCUGGGGCGGGGCGGUUCCGGGGCUCCUCACGGUGCCGUUCUGUAUCAAUAACCCUCGGUGGGCUUCGGAGCCACGUUUUGCUGCGGCAGCUGGGAAUGUGACACUUUCUGCGGUGGCAUAUCGGUGGUUUGGACCUUAACUAGUUCAUAUUGCUGACCUGUAGCGAUAGCGGGUGGCUGAAGCCAUUCUCGUUUCGCAGAAUCACAGAAUCGUUCGGGUUGGAAGGUCCGUCUGGAGAUCAGAGCCCCCUGCCAAGGCAGGGUCACCCGGAGCAGGUGACACAGGAACGCGUCCAGGGACAGCGGGGACGGCGCUGAAGCUGCAGCCCAGCCCAGGGGGUGUCCCCGACCUCAGCUGGCACUCUUCCCCUUUUUCUUCACUGCAACGAAACUGACGAAAUAUUUAAUAUAAUUCCUGCUACUUUUUAAUUAGAUGUUUAGUUGUAUUUUACUGCUGUUUUACAUUAAGUACUUUUGCGGGGAGGCAUUUACACUGUGGGAAAUUUCAUCAGGCAGAUGUGCAGAAUUUGGAUGUUAUUUUUCAGAUACACCCAGCUACUCACUUGGAAAAUAAGGGCAGAAACACAGUGUUUUGGGAUAAACUGCAUAAUUUAAACAGAUAUUCCCUCUGCUUCGCUGACACAAACCCUCAGUAGCUAUCUUUGAUUUCCAGAGCAGCUAAUGACAUCUCACACCUUGGCUCCCCUCCUCCAAACCUGUCCUACGGGUCACUUGUUUACACAGCAACAGGAACAAGCCUGCUCUGAUCAACAGCUCCUCCUCUGGCCAGGUAACCCUUGAAAAAACCACAGAACACCUUCAAAUCGAGUUAUUAUUUAGUAGAAAUCCAGGUCCCAACUGCUCAAAAGAACAUAUGGAAAUGUUUGCUCAAUUCAUUAAAUUUUCACACAACCUAGUGAUGAAAAAAAUCCCUUGUCUGUGUCAAAGCUGAUUUUCAUCCCUGUUGGAUCAGGUCACACACAAAGAUCUUUUCCUGUGCAGCAGUGUUCUAAGUUUCUCUGUCCAGUAACCUCAGCACAACCAGCUUCACACACCCCAGCACAAGAGCUUUAAAGCCACAGGGCUUGUCUGCCUUGCAAGGAAUAGUGUAUUAACUUACAGUUCUAGAGAGCAAAUUACCAUUCCUACAGCAAUCUGGCAACCCCCUCCUUCAUUUAGCAGAGUUUGAGGCGCAGCUGUAAUCCAAAGUCCAUAAAGUGCUGACACAGUAUUGGUGGCCCCAGGCAAACCCCCUGGGUGGAACCAGGUGCACUAAAGGGUUAAACUUUGACAUCAUGGAACGACACGGAACCAGUGCAGAAUUGAGUACUGAGAUUUAUUCACAAUUCAAGGCCAUGCUGCACUGGAAAACAAAGCACCAAAAUCUGGGUACCUGAACAUCAUCCAGGUAUGAUCCUGCAUUUGGAAAUCGGCAUUCCUCAGGGGCAGCACAGGUGCUGUGGCUGGGGGAACCCUCCUGCAGCAGGCAGAGGGACUCACAGCAGGCUGGAGAGCUUCAGGGCAAAGCACACAACCCCAAGAGUCCAGCACCUGACAUGCUCCAGUCACAACAUCCCAAGAGAAUUUUAUGAAUUCAUUCACUGUGUCCAGUUCCUUUCCCACAAUCCCUCCAGUCUGUAAUUUUCUAAAAAUCCUUUUAUCUCAGCACAAAAUUCAAGGGGGAGGUAAAGCACUGUGGCUGUGGCCACGUCAGGAGCUUUUCCUGUUGCUGAAGAGGCAGUAGCAAUAGAAAUUACUAUGGAAUCAGGGAAUCCAAUCAGGGAAUUUAAUAUGCUGUAAUUUCAGAAGUGUGGCUACAAACACAUAUUGUUAACAUUAAUGGACUUUCCAACUGCAGAUUCAAAAGCCAGAAUCAAACCUUAGGCAAGUAUUUCACUAUGUAUGAAGCUACAAGGUUUUCUGAUAUAUGUUAAAAUUUCAGUGAAAGCAGGUGAAGGGGGAAAGAUGAAAAGGAAAGUUCUAUCCUGUAAAACUGGCACUUUAAAGAAAAGGCCUUUAAAAAACUACAAUAUUUAACUCCAAAAGUCUUAAAAAACAAAAGCUGACACAAAAAAAAAAAAAAAACCAAACCCAAAAAGACAACUCUCAGUUACUCAGGUGACUAAUUAUAAUACAUUCUGUGCAGCCACUUGCCAUGGUUUUGCAUAGGAGACAUUCAGGGAAGUGAUGGAAAGGUUUGUUAUGCAAAACCAUAACACCACUACAAGCUCAGUAAGAUGCCUUCCUUGCCUUUAAAAAGGAAUUCUGCAGCAGACAAAUCAUCAACAGCUCUGCACUGUGACUACCUCAAUAGGUUAAAAGCCUUGAGCAGAUGGAAGAAAUGGUGGAUCCAGCUGAAACAGGAUGUUUUGGACACUGAGCCAGUGGGAGCAGAGCAGACUGAUUUCACCCACUGCCCUGCCCAUUCCUGGGCUCCCCCAGCAGCACAGGCAGUGAGGCAAGCACUGGCCAAAGUGCCACCCAGCCCUGGGAGCAUCCACCACCCUGCACACACAGUUCUGGGCUCUGCUUGCAGAACAGCAAGGCAGCUCCUGCGUAGUUUACUGAAGAUUUCCUCAGAAAAGCAAACUGGUCUUGUACCAUUUCACACAUAAAAAAAUAAGCACACUGUACAAAGAGCAGCAGAGAUAUAAUUUAAACAUGCAUCCAGCUACAAACCAUAUAUACAGAGAAGCAGGCCUAUACAAACAGAACAGGACCACUUUGUUACAUUACAAUUCUGGUGGAGUUCUUGGAGGAAAUCACAGAUGAACAAAA
Molecule: long non-coding RNA, 3265 nt
Organism: Pyrgilauda ruficollis (rufous-necked snowfinch)
Lineage: Eukaryota; Metazoa; Chordata; Aves; Passeriformes; Passeridae
Exons: 2
Source: RefSeq, a predicted model, not a curated record